Molecule: ribosomal RNA, 2064 nt
Filed under: Triticum aestivum (bread wheat)
Lineage: Eukaryota; Viridiplantae; Streptophyta; Magnoliopsida; Poales; Poaceae
Description: partial small subunit ribosomal RNA
Source: RNAcentral
AUGUGCGAUGGGGUAUACUUCGCCGCCAAGAAACUGAAGCCCUACUUCCAAGAGCACCCCAUCACGGUCGUGUGCACCGCCCCGCUCGCCAAGAUCAUAGGCAGCCGGGAUGCAUCCGGCUGGGUGGCUAAAUGGGCCAUCGCACUGGCGCCCUACACGAUCUUCUACCAACCCCGCACCGCCAUCAAGUCCCAAGCGUUGGCCGACUUCCCCGUCGACUGGGCCGAGACCCAGUACCUACCGCCGGCUCCCGACUCCACCCAUUGGCGGAUGCACUUUGACGGGUCCAAGAUGCGCACCGGCUUGGGAGCCGGCAUCGUCCUCACCUCUCCCAAAGGCGACAAGCUCAAGUACACACUGCAGAUCCACUUCGCCGCCUCCAACAACGUGGCCGAGUACGAGGCGCCCGUACAUGGGCUCCAGCUAGCCAAAGAGCUCGGCAUACGCCGGAUCCUGUGUUACGGCGACUCAGACUUGGUGGUCCAGCAGUCGUCUGGCGACUGGGACGCCAAGGACGCGAACAUGGCGAGCUAUCGAUUCCUCGUCCAGCAGAUCAGCGGAUACUUCGAAGGGUGCGAGUUCCUUCACGUGCCAAGGGCCGACAACGACCAAGCAGAUGCCCUAGCACGGAUCGGCUCCACCCGACAAGCCAUACCGACUGGCGUCUCCCUCCAGCGCCUCCUCAAGCCGUCCAUCAAGCCGUCUCCAGAGUCGGACUCUAUCUUCGUACCACCUGCGCCAGAUGCAGCCGGAUCCGACUGGAGAAACCCCGCAGGCGGCACGGGGACUUCAACAACUGGCCCGGGAACUGCCGUAGUCGCACCCGGCCCGGAGACUUCAGAGCCCGGCCCGGGGACUGCAGUAGUCGGCCCGGGGACUACAACGACACAAGAAGCGAUGGCCGACUCCAAUUCCGCGCCACCCAACCCACCCACCCGAGUCAUGGUGGCUACACUAACAGAAGAAGAAGUCACAGCUCCGUCAUGGGCCCAGCCCAUCCUCAAGUUCCUAGUCAGCAGAGAGCUGCCGGCUGAUGAGAUCUCAGCAAGACUAGUGAAACGACGAGCCGCAUCAUAUGCAAUAAUCAACAGAGAGCUUGUGAAGCGCAGCAUCACUAGAGUCUUCCAGCGUUGUGUCGAGCCAGCAAAAGGAGUGGCAAUCCUCAAGGAUAUCCACCAAGGCGAAUGCGGCCACCACGCAGCCUCAAGAUCACUUGUGGCCAAGGCUUUCCGCCAUGGUUUCUUCUGGCCGACUGCCUUGGAGGAUGCUAAAGAAAUAGUCAAGAGCUGCAGAGGAUGCCAAGUUUUUAGUUCCAAGCAACACCUGCCAGCUUCUGCACUUAAGACCAUUCCCCUCACCUGGCCUUUUGCCGUCUGGGGAUUGGACAUGGUGGGCCCUUUCAAGACAGCCCGCGGCGGCUUGACGCAUCUACUUGUCGCUGUGGACAAGUUCACAAAGUGGAUCGAAGCAAAGCCGAUUAAGAAGCUGAAUGGGCCGACUGCCGUGACAUUCAUCACUGACAUCACUACUCGGUACAGCGUGCCGCACAGCAUCAUCACCGACAACGGCACGAACUUCGCCAAAGGACAACUGGCACGUUUCUGCGCGACGCAGGGCAUCCGACUGGACUUAGCGUCCGUUGCCCACCCGCAGUCAAACGGCCAGGUCGAGCGAGCAAAUGGACUCAUCCUCUCCGGCAUCAAGCCCCGACUGGUUGUACCACUGGAGCGAUCGGCCGGCUGCUGGCUCGAUGAGCUGCCGGCUGUCCUCUGGAGUCUGCGCACUACACCCAACAAGUCUACUGGCUUUACUCCAUUUUUCCUCGUGUACGGUGCCGAGGCUGUCAUCCCAACAGACAUCGAGUUCGACUCGCCUCGGAUCACCAUGUACACGGAGGAGGAGGCCAAGGAAGCAAGAGAAGACGGCAUCGACCUACUGGAAGAAGGCCGGCUGUUAGCACUCAGCCGGUCCGCCAUCUACCAGCAAGGGCUGCGCCGCUACUACAACCGCAAGGUCAAGCCAAGAUCCUUCCAAGAGGGCGACCUUGUGCUCCGACUGAUCUAG